This 380-nucleotide ribosomal RNA is filed under the name Synchroma pusillum. RNAcentral's name for it is "partial Bacterial large subunit ribosomal RNA". It matches the Rfam family "Bacterial large subunit ribosomal RNA", at positions 1100 to 1452 of the family's 2925-position model. Lineage: Eukaryota; Synchromophyceae; Synchromales; Synchromaceae. The record is from RNAcentral.
GUUGGCUUAGAAGCAGCCACCCUUGAAAGAGUGCGUAAUAGCUCACUGGUCAAGUGAUUCCGCGCCGACAAUGUAGCGGGGCUCAAGUUAUCCACCGAAGCUAUGGCAUUCACACGUGUGCUAGGCCGGCUUGUCCGGUCCAGGUGUGUGGAUGGGUAGGGGAGCGUCGUAUGGCGAGUGAAGCGGCGGUGUGAACCAGUCGUGGACGCCAUACGAGUGAGAAUGCAGGCAUGAGUAGCGAAUGAGGAGUGAGAAACUCCUCCGCCGAAUGAUCAAGGGUUCCAGGGUCAAGCUAAUCUGCCCUGGGUAAGUCGGGACCUAAGGCGAGGCCGACAGGCGUAGUCGAUGGACAACGGGUUGAUAUUCCCGUACCGGCAAAA